Molecule: long non-coding RNA, 583 nt
Organism: Octopus bimaculoides (California two-spot octopus)
Lineage: Eukaryota; Metazoa; Mollusca; Cephalopoda; Octopoda; Octopodidae
Source: RefSeq, a predicted model, not a curated record
AAAUUCUUAUUACCCAUCUGUGCUGAAGUGAGGUGAUUUUCUUUUGUCUGAAGCAUGUACAUAUUUAUCUGAAAGAAUUGGUGAAGAUUUCUUAAUAGUUUUGAAGUAUAAAGGGUACUUUUUUUAAAAUCAUAUUUUACAAAAUUAUAAAAACUUUUAUCAGGAUGUUACUAACCUCUUUGGAAGAAGUUUUUUCUAGUGUGGCUUCAAAAUAUUCUUACAACAUCAUGAAUAAUUUUAUGAUCUUAUUUAAUAUUCUGGAUCCGUGCGUAAUCUCUGAUGAAGGAAAUGUGAAUUACUGAAUAUGAAAACAAUUUACCUACACACUUCCUCGCACAUUCCCGGAAAUGGCCGUAAGAAUCUUUCGUAUAUAUUGGAUUCGUUUGAAAACUUGUCUUUCGGUUAUUAUGAACCGUCAUCUCAUCAGCUUGAGACCUUUUGAUUCGUGUGUAUGUGUAUAUGCAAUUCUUCAUCCGACUUUGAUUUGGUCACGCUGUAUGUUCGCAUAUUUAUAAUGGCUUAUAUAUACCCUCUGUGUUUAAAUAAAUGUCGGCUUUGAUGAGGAUUAUUAUCGACCUGAAAA